GACGUAGGGCGCGAGCGUUGUCCGGAUUUAUUGGGCGUAAAGAGCUCGUAGGCGGUUUGUUGCGUCGGCUGUGAAAUCCCGAGGCUCAACCUCGGGUCUGCAGUCGAUACGAGCAAACUAGAGUGUUGCAGGGGAGACUGGAAUUCCUGGUGUAGCGGUGAAAUGCGCAGAUAUCAGGAGGAACACCGGUGGCGAAGGCGGGUCUCUGGGCAACAACUGACGCUGAGGAGCGAAAGCAUGGGGAGCGAACAGG
Molecule: ribosomal RNA, 253 nt
Filed under: uncultured bacterium
Lineage: Bacteria
Description: partial 16S ribosomal RNA
Rfam family: Bacterial small subunit ribosomal RNA
Source: RNAcentral